Molecule: ribosomal RNA, 465 nt
Filed under: uncultured bacterium
Lineage: Bacteria
Description: partial 16S ribosomal RNA
Rfam family: Bacterial small subunit ribosomal RNA
Source: RNAcentral
CCUACGGGCGGCAGCAGUGGGGAAUAUUGCGCAAUGGGCGAAAGCCUGACGCAGCGACGCCGCGUGAGGGAUGAAGGUCUUCGGAUCGUAAACCUCUGUCAGCAGGGAAGAACGGUCACUGUGCUAAUCAGCAGUGACUUGACGGUACCUGCAAAGGAAGCACCGGCUAACUCCGUGCCAGCAGCCGCGGUAAUACGGAGGGUGCGAGCGUUAAUCGGAAUUACUGGGCGUAAAGCGGUCGUAGGCGGUAUGUCAAGUCAAGGGUGAAAUCCCCGCGCUCAACGUGGGAACUGCCUUUGAAACUGGGAAACUGGAGUGUGGGAGAGGAUAGUGGAAUUCCAGGUGUAGGAGUGAAAUCCGUAGAUAUCUGGAGGAACAUCAGUGGCGAAGGCGACUAUCUGGCACAUAACUGACGCUGAGGAGCGAAAGCGUGGGGAGCAAACAGGAUUAGAUACCCGAGUAGUC